This 1445-nucleotide ribosomal RNA is filed under the name Cutibacterium acnes. RNAcentral describes it as "bacterial SSU rRNA". It matches the Rfam family "Bacterial small subunit ribosomal RNA". The record is from RNAcentral. Lineage: Bacteria; Bacillati; Actinomycetota; Actinomycetes; Propionibacteriales; Propionibacteriaceae.
CCAAUCGUUGACGAACCGAUAGGCCCUGCUAUUGUGAGGCUGCUCCAGUGGCGAACCGGUUGAUAGUAACACGUGAGUAACCUGCCCUUGACUAUGUGAUAACUUUCAGGAAACUCCGGGCUAUAUACCGGAUAGGAGCUCCUGCUGGUGGGGGUUGCAAAGUUUCGGCGGUUGGGGAUGGACUCGCGGCUUAUCAGCUUGUUGGUGGGGUAGUGGCUUACCAAGGCUUUGACGGGUAGCCGGCCUGAGAGGGUGACCGGCCACAUUGGGACUGAGAUACGGCACCAGACUCCUACGGGAGGCAGCAGUGGGGAAUAUUGCACAAUGGGCGGAAGCCUGAUGCAGCAACGCCGCGUGCGGGAUGACGGCCUUCGGGUUGUAAACCGCUUUCGCCUGUGACGAAGCGUGUAGUGACGGUAAUGGGUAAAGAAGCACCGGCUAACUACGUGCCAGCAGCCGCGGUGAUACGUAGGGUGCGAGCGUUGUCCGGAUUUAUUGGGCGUAAAGUCGUAGGUGGUUGAUCGCGUCGGAAGUGUAAUCUUGGGGCUUAACCCUGAGCGUGCUUUCGAUACGGGUUGACUUGACGGAAGGUAGGGGAGAAUGGAAUUCCUGGUGGAGCGGUCCAAUCGUUGUCUCCAUUCAGCGGAAUGGGCAGAUAUCAGGAGUAACACCAGUGGCGAAGGCGGUUCUCAGUUGGGCCUUUCCUGACGCUGAGGAGCGAAAGCGUGGGGAGCGAACAGGCUUAGAGUACCCUGCGUAGUCCACGCUGUAAACGGUGGGUACUAGGUGUGGGGUCCAUUCCACGGGUUCCGUGCCGUAGCUAACGCUUUAAGUACCCCGCCUGGGGAGUACGGCCGCAAGGCUAUUACUCAAAGGAAUUGACGGGGCCCCGCACAAGCGGGAGCAUGCGGAUUAACUCGUUGCAACGCGUAGAACCUUACCAGGGUUUGACAUGGAUCGGGAGCGCUCAGAGAUGGGUGUGCCUCGGGGUCGGUUCACAGGUGGUGCAUGGUAACUGUCGUCAGCUCGUGUCGUGAGAUGUUGGGUAUCGUAAGUCCCGCAACGAGCGCAACCCUAUGUACACUGUUGCGCAGCACGUAUAUGGUGGUUCGCAUGGACUCAGUGGUGACGGCGGGGGUCAACUCGGAGGAAGGUGGGGAUGACGUCAAGUCAUCAUGCCCCUUAUGUCCAGGGCUUCACGCAUGCUACAAUGGCUGGUACAGAGAGUGGCGAGCCUGUGAGUCGUGAGCGAAGCUCGGAAAGCCGGUCUCAGUUCGGAUUGGGGUCUGCACCUCGACCUCAUGAAGUCGGAGUCGCUAGUAAUCGGCAGAUCAGCAACGCUGCGGUGAAUACGUUCACGGGGCUAGUACACACCGCCCGUCAAGUCAUGAAAGUUGGUAACACCCGAAGCCGGUGGCCUAACCGUUGUGGGGGAGUCGAGCUUA